UAACGCGUGGGUAACCUGCCUCAUACAGGGGGAUAACGAUUGGAAACGAUUGCUAAUACCGCAUAAGCGCACAGUACCACAUGGUGCAGUGUGAAAAACUCCGGUGGUAUGAGAUGGACCCGCGUCUGAUUAGCUAGUUGGUGAGGUAACGGCCCACCAAGGCAACGAUCAGUAGCCGACCUGAGAGGGUGACCGGCCACAUUGGGACUGAGACACGGCCCAG
This 223-nucleotide ribosomal RNA is filed under the name uncultured bacterium. RNAcentral's name for it is "partial 16S ribosomal RNA". It matches the Rfam family "Bacterial small subunit ribosomal RNA", at positions 111 to 334 of the family's 1533-position model. The record is from RNAcentral.